CGCGGGGUGUACUUACUUUAUCUGGUCUCCGGCGCUGGGUGGGCGCUGCAGCUCUCCGUUCCACCCGAGCUGCAGCCGGUUCGCCUCGCUGUCACCGGGUAUGGCUUGUCUCUGUUCCAUUGUAUCUGGAGCCUCAACUGGGAAGACUGGAAUGCAGGAACACAGACCCCUAAUAUCAUGUAGGGGAUUCUUCAGUCACGUGUCUGGUACCUGGACAGGAAUGACUCAAAGGAGAAGGAGACUGAACAUAUUGCUAAAGGAAAAUAAGGAGCUAAGGAAAUUUUCAAGAUUUCUACUUGCAUUACUGCAUGGAUAGUGAUGCUGUUUGUCAAAAUCAGCUUACUCUUCUAUCUUCUGCCAAGUGAGGAUGCAGCAAGAAGGCCC
Lemur catta (Ring-tailed lemur) is the source of this 384-nucleotide long non-coding RNA. RefSeq lists it as uncharacterized. The transcript has 4 exons. Lineage: Eukaryota; Metazoa; Chordata; Mammalia; Primates; Lemuridae. The record is from RefSeq and is a predicted model, not a curated record.